This 887-nucleotide unclassified non-coding RNA is filed under the name Hevea brasiliensis (rubber tree). The record is from RNAcentral. Lineage: Eukaryota; Viridiplantae; Streptophyta; Magnoliopsida; Malpighiales; Euphorbiaceae.
GUUGAGCAAGAAGUGGUUGGUGAUAAUACCUCAGUUUUGCAAUGUAUUCUUAACACUGAUAUGGAGAGAACCCAACUUCUGGAAGAAGAGGCUCGUCUGCUUGAAUUACAGAGAGUGACCGACUUAGAAGGCGAAUCUGCAAAGAGUGAUAAGUUGAAUGGAGGUAUCGACAAAAAUUCGCAAGCAAAAAGGCUUGAAGAGAUAUACAAAAGACUUGAUUUCAUUGAUGCUUACUCGGCUGAGUCACGUGCAGCAACUAUACUAUCGGGUUUGAGCUUCUCUCCAGAAAUGCAAAAGAGAGCAACCAAAACAUUUUCUGGAGGAUGGAGAAUGAGAAUCGCUCUUGCUCGGGCAUUGUUCAUUGAACCUGAUCUAUUGUUGCUUGAUGAACCCACGAAUCAUCUUGAUCUGCAUGCUGUCUUAUGGCUGGAAAGUUACCUGGUGAAGUGGCCGAAGACAUUUAUAGUUGUGUCUCAUGCUAGAGAGUUCUUGAAUUCUGUAGUCACAGAUAUCAUCCAUCUACAAAAUCAGAAAUUGAGCACCUUUAAAGGAGACUAUGAUACAUUUGAAAGGACACGAGAAGAACAAGUUAAGAAUCAACAGAAAGCAUUCGAGGCAAAUGAACGUACAAGGGCCCACAUGCAGACCUUUAUUGACAAGUUCAGGUACAAUGCAAAGCGUGCAUCUCUUGUUCAGUCUAGAAUUAAGGCACUGGAACGAAUUGGUCGUGUGGAUGAAGUCAUCAAUGAUCCUGACUACAAGUUUGAGUUCCCUUCUCCUGAUGAUAGACCUGGCGCUCCUAUUAUAAGCUUCAGUGACGCAUCCUUUGGAUAUCCUGGGGGACCAAUAUUGUUCAAAAAUUUGAAUUUUGGAAUAGAUUUGGAUAG